Molecule: ribosomal RNA, 482 nt
Filed under: Mileewa gaoligongana
Lineage: Eukaryota; Metazoa; Arthropoda; Insecta; Hemiptera; Cicadellidae
Description: partial large subunit ribosomal RNA
Source: RNAcentral
GUAUUUUCUGCCCUAUGAUUAAUUUUAAAUGGCUGCAGUAUUUUGACUGUGCAAAGGUAGCAUAAUAAUUAGUCUUUUAAUUGAGGACUGGAAUGAAUGGAUAUAUGAGAUAUUUUUUUUAUUAUUAAUAAAUUUAGAAUUUUAUUUUUAAGUUAAAAAGCUUAAUUUUUUUUUAGGGACGAUAAGACCCUAUAGAACUUUAUUUUUAAUAAAAAAUAACUAAAUUUAGUAAAUUAAAUAUUUAGUUGUUUUUCUAAAAAAUUUUGUUGGGGGGACAGAUAAAAUAUUAAACUUUAUUUUUUAAAAACAUAUUGUAAAUGUAAUAUUGAUCCAUUAUUUUUGAUUAUAAGAUCAAGUUACCUUAGGGAUAACAGCGUAAUUUUAGUGGGGAGAUCAUAUUUAUACUAAAGUUUGCGACCUCGAUGUUGAAUUAAGAUAAGUUUAAGGGGUAGGUUCUUUAUAAACUAAGUCUGUUCGACUUU